UGUAAAAAAAACGACUCCCGGCAACGGAUAUCUCGGCUCUCGCAUCGAUGAAGAACGUAGCGAACUGCGAUACUUGGUGUGAAUUGCAGAAUCCCGUGAAUCAUCGAGUCUUUGAACGCAAGUUGCGCCCGAAGCCAUUAGGCCGAGGGCACGUCUGCCUGGGUGUCAAACAUCGUUGCCCCAGCACAAAUUGUGCCAGGGGCGGAUAUUGGCCUCCCGUGAGCAUGACUCGCGGUUGGCCUAAAUGCGAGUCCGUGGUGGUGAGCGCCAAGGCAUACGGUGGUUGAGUUAUUCUCGAAGCCAGCUGUCCUGCGUGUCUCCCCUCCUGAACGACUCUAUCAACCCUAUUGCAUCGCAUAGAUGCUUCCAACGUGACCCCAGGUCAGGCGGGACUACCCGCUGAAUUUAAGCAUAUCAAUAAGCGGAGGAAAAGAAACUAACAAGGAUUCCCCUAGUAACGGCGAGCGAACCGGGAAUAGCCCACCAUGAAAAUCGGUUGCCCUCGGCAUCCGAAUUGUAGUCUGGAGAAGCGUCCUCAGCGACGGACCGAGCCCAAGUCCCCUGGAAGGGGGCGCCAGAGAGGGUGAGAGCCCCGUUGUGCUCGGACCCUGUUGCACCACGAGGCGCUGUCGGCGAGUCGGGUUGUUUGGGAAUGCAGCCCAAAUCGGGCGGUAAACUCCGUCCAAGGCUAAAUACA
RNAcentral lists this ribosomal RNA (697 nucleotides) under Salmonella enterica subsp. enterica serovar Corvallis. Its description in RNAcentral is "partial 23S ribosomal RNA". The stretch from base 373 to 697 matches the Rfam family "Eukaryotic large subunit ribosomal RNA", at positions 1 to 324 of the family's 3401-position model. The record is from RNAcentral. Lineage: Bacteria; Pseudomonadati; Pseudomonadota; Gammaproteobacteria; Enterobacterales; Enterobacteriaceae.